AGUAGUGAAGACUGUGAUCUUAAAAAAACUAGUCUAGGGCUUCCCCACGCGAUUACAACACAAGAUGUCACGGAUGUGACGCGAUGCCAGUUAGUGCCAACACAUAUACAGGCGGUAGUCCAUAGUGGCACCUCCAGUUACAUUCAAGUGGGCUUCGUCGGUGGGACCGUCUCCCUGAUCAGCCACACCCCUAGCAACACUGUGCGAGUGAUCUGAUUCCUCAUUUUGGUCGCACACUUCUUGACGCUAGCAGACUAAGGAUAUUCCACUUAACCACUUCAUCUUGUAUUACUCUUCGUGGUCCAGCUAGUGAAAGAAUCAUGCUUAUCAACUGCACGCAUCCUGAUGAUAUGCAAGUGCUGGUGGGAAGGAGCCUUGGCAUUGGGGUGACAGUCGGUUUUGUGUGUGGAGGAAUCCUCGUUUCCCUUUUCUUCAUUGCAUAUCGGUCCAGCUACAUACGAAACUUGAUUUUCAAAAGGAUUGCUAAGAAGAAGAAACCUGAGUCUAUUGGAAGCAAAAAUAAAAACAUGGUCGCCUCGCAUACCUCUAAUCAGCCAGAGCAAGAAACACAACGCUAUCUGACAGGUAAAGACGUCAAAGCAAGUAAGAAAAAGCUUCCUGAGAGAGCAAGAUUCCAAAACAAGAACCAACAUGAGGAAGAUAUCACCAAUCUAUCACAAAACGAUUUCCAGAAUGCUAACCAUUCUUCGUAUGAACAUUGCAAUGAGAUCAGUCCACAUUAUCAAAACAACCACGGUCAACCAACAUACGCAAAUAUAACAGAAAUAUCCAACUAUGAAAAUGAGUACGAUUAUGUUACGCCUUCCACUAUCCAGGGAUGGCAUUCUAGCGAAUCUCAGCCCGAUGAGGAUUAUGUACAGAUGAAAUUGCCUGAUCACUCACAGUGGUACAAUCGUGGACAAGUAUGAGGGGUGUCAGCUCUGGAAAUGAUUGCCCACUGUUUACUAAGGGUUCAGUACAGGCUGUCCCUUGUGCCGGCCCUCCAAUUUCUCCCGUGAUUCGAAUAACAUUCAGAUGUUGUUUCGUCUUAUUUAUGGAAUAACUUUAGAGCAAAAUAUUUUGUUUCAUUCCAUAUUAAAUGGAAAAUGUGAUGAGAAGCGGUAACAACAUUACAUCAUAUGAAGUAAGAAUGAGCUAAAAAACCGAUUUCAAUUGUUCCACAUUUUUGUGUAUCUCCCUUUUCCCUUCGGUCAAAUCAGACUCGAUGAUAUUUUAGUUCAUGCUCUUGUCUUACUCCCUUCUUAGGCUUCCUUCCCGCUUCCCCGAUCCUCGUCAUCGUCUGUCUCCUCUUUCUCCUUUCCCUCUACCUGAAUACUUUACUUUCCGCAAUCCUCAUUCCUCGCCUCAUUUCAGAGAUCGUGCUCUUAUAGUCAGUGCUACACACAUCAAUAUUUUCAAAUCAUACAUCGGGGAUCAUAUUCUCAAACUAGCGAAAGCCACUGCGAUUUUCGAAUGUUUUCAUGAUUUUAAUGAUAGUUUAACAAUUGUCCUGCAUACUAAUAGAAAAAUAGAGGUGAGAACACAACUAAUAAUCUCGAUUUUUUUUUUACGUAGCCUUUAUAAGAACACAAAGCGUUGAAAAAUAUGUGGUUAGACCAACGUUCUAGUCCUCUCCCUCACAUCUGUCAGUGAUGCAGGCGACGGGUUUUUGACUGCUGAGGAAAUUGAGGGAAGUAGAGUUAUUAACACAUGUCAGUGAAUAACAACUGUUGCUUAAACAAAUGUAUCCAGAGUAGCAAUGUAUUAGCUUCCCUCUUCAUUUUACUGAUUUAUUCUCUCUCUCUCUCUCUCUCUCUCUCUCUCUCUCUCUCUCUCUCUCUCUCUCUCUCUCUCUCUCUCUCUCUCUUUCAACGAUUACUCUUGCUGUUGUGAUGGAUUUCUAAAAUGAUUGAAAUAGUAUUAUAUAGGAAAAUUGAUAUAAAGAUUUUUGUUGGUUAUUGUGUUAUCAUAAUAAAUGCUAUUGUGGGGAUUCAUGUCACUGCAUCGACACUACAUUAGUUGUGCAAGAUUCAGUUAAUUAUUGUACACCAGAAAAUAAAUAAAUCUUAUCAUGUCUAGGUGACAAUUAUAAGGUGAUAAGAUUGUUACAUGAAAUCCAUUGUAAUUUAGAGAAUGGAUGAAAUAAAUAUGAUUUAUUAUUA
Long non-coding RNA from Scylla paramamosain (green mud crab), 2162 nucleotides. RefSeq lists it as uncharacterized. The record is from RefSeq and is a predicted model, not a curated record. NCBI's taxonomy places the organism in Eukaryota, Metazoa, Arthropoda, Malacostraca, Decapoda, Portunidae. The transcript is spliced from 2 exons.